This is a long non-coding RNA of Leptidea sinapis, 1690 nucleotides long. RefSeq lists it as uncharacterized. The transcript is spliced from 4 exons. The record is from RefSeq and is a predicted model, not a curated record. Lineage: Eukaryota; Metazoa; Arthropoda; Insecta; Lepidoptera; Pieridae.
GAUACAAUCUGUGAAGUGCGCAGUCUGGUAUGAGUGCUGCUUGCGAGUGGAUGGUUGCAAUUGCCUGCCCUCCUGGCGUGCCCUCCUGCCGUGGCCUCCUGCCGGUUCCUCUACGUCACAGGUUGUGUUUCAAUGACAGCUUAACCAUGCAUCAUGGGCUGCAACAGCAGCGGUCCCGUCGUCGCUGACUUGCAACCGAACGCAACAGAAACUGCAGAAUCAAACACAGAAAAAGAAGAAAAAAAAGCUGACGGUGUAACAGAGAGUGACAUGAUGAACGUGCUUCCUAUUUGUGACAAAUUAAUUGAUAAUUCACAAACAGCUGGCGAUGAGGGCAUGUUGAACUCCCGCGUGAGCUCCGAAUCGCUUGAAAAAGAAAACUCAACGUUAGUUAAUGGAAAUAUGAAAGAUCAAGAAUCGAUAGACGCUGCAGCAACCGAUAGUGAAAAACUAACCACAUUUAAGAAAGUGGCUGAUAUUGUCAUUAUUGAUAAAAUAUUAGAAGAUGUCCGAGCAAUUAAUGAAAAUGACAUACAAGAUUUAGUUGGCACUGCCGCAGAGGAAGUAAAUCAAGAAGAUUUGAAUCAAAAUGAAAAUGAGCAAGACCAAACCACAAAUAAUAAUGAAAACAUUGUUGAAAUCGUUAUAGAUAAUAUGGAAUUUAAUGAAGAAGAAAACAGUUCUAGAGAGGGCAGCGCAAAGGAACAUCAAAGUCCCACACAAUCAGAGUGCAGCAAGUCGACUCGUUGGGAAGCGCUGGCAGAUAUAGCGGCAGAGCUACCGCCUUCGCUAGCCGUAGACCCCGUCACUGGACAUAUUUAUUCACUUGCAAAAUAAAACAUCACAUUGAAUUCUAAGGCCCAUCUUGCAGAACAUCAGAUUUCAUUGGCUCUCUUACAUUCCAUUACAUUUACACUCAAAAGUUGACUACAUAUUGAGACAAAUCUACAAAUGUACAGUGCCUCAAUAUUUAACAUAAUAUUAUCUGUUAUAGUUAAGUAUUAAGUCAAAUUUAAUGUUAAGAGCUGACUUUCACAAAUACUGCGGAAUGUGUUGCACCAUCGUAUUCCGUGGAAUAGUUAAAGUUAAAUUGUGAAUAUCGAAUAUUUAUUUGAAACUUUUGUCAGGUGCCUAGGUAUUUAGCUAUUUAAUAUUAACAAUAGCUAUACGGCCGUUUUCAAUAACGUAUCUCUAGUUACGGAUACAUUGCUGUCACCGUUUAAUGACAAGAUCUUAUCUAUCCAUAGCUAUGUCCAAUAUAGUUUAACGGCCGUUUUCAAUAACGUAUCUCUAGUUACGGAUACAUUGCUGUCACCGUUUAAUGACAAGAUCUUAUCUAUCCAUACUUAUGUCCAAUAUAGUUAUAGUCCAAUGCUUUAUGUCGAUAGGUUAUUGAAAUGUAAGUAAGCGUUAAAGGAUAGAUUUGUCUACCUAUAGUAAGUUAAAUUAAGGAUAGAUAGGUUAUUGAAAACGGCCGUUAAACGGCGAACAUUUGACGGCUACGGUUAACAGUUAAAGUUAUGACGUCAUCUCAAAAUUGUCAAAUGGUGUAACUCAUUUCUUGCUUAACCGGUAUUUUCAUAUGUUGGUACUAAAGUUAGUUGGUGCAACCAAGCCUAACUCUAUUAUAGUGAUGCUUCUGAUACAAUUUCAGCUCUGUUACAACAAGAAUAAUAAAUUAUGAAUUACU